Molecule: non-coding RNA, 181 nt
Filed under: Acinetobacter lanii
Lineage: Bacteria; Pseudomonadati; Pseudomonadota; Gammaproteobacteria; Moraxellales; Moraxellaceae
Description: 6S RNA
Rfam family: 6S / SsrS RNA
About the family: E. coli 6S RNA was the first non coding RNA to be sequenced, but its function was unknown until recently. It consists of 184 nucleotides that fold into an extended hairpin structure with a large single-stranded internal bulge.
Source: RNAcentral
GCAACUCUGGGAUGUUCGUCAGUGAGUCUAUAUCCCUGCCGAUACUUAUAUCCCCGGAUGCGUUCUGUAUAUUUAGAGUGUAUGCCUAUCUUCGUGUAGGAAACCCGUGAAGUAUACGUCGCGUCCACCUUGAACUCAUCGGGUUCAGGGUAACGACAUGCAACGGCAUCUCCGGAGUGCU